This 260-nucleotide ribosomal RNA is filed under the name uncultured bacterium. Its description in RNAcentral is "partial 16S ribosomal RNA". It matches the Rfam family "Bacterial small subunit ribosomal RNA", at positions 524 to 776 of the family's 1533-position model. The record is from RNAcentral.
GACGUAGGGCGCGAGCGUUUGUCCGGAUUUAUUGGGCGUAAAGAGCUCGUAGGCGGCUUGUCGCCGUACGACCGGUGAAAACCUUGGGGCUCAACCCCAAGCCUGCGGUCGAUGACGGGCAGGCUAGAGUUCGGGUAGGGGAGACUGGAAUUCCUGGUGUAGCGGUGAAAUGCGCAGAUAUCAGGAGGAACACCGAUGGCGAAGGCAGGUCUCUGGGCCGAUACUGACGCUGAGGAGCGAAAGCGUGGGGAGCGAACAGG